GAAUAUUGCACAAUGGGCGAAAGCCUGAUGCAGCCAUGCCGCGUGAGUGAUGAAGGCCUUAGGGUUGUAAAGCUCUUUCACCGGUGAAGAUAAUGACGGUAGCCGGAGAAGAAGCCCCGGCUAACUCCGUGCCAGCAGCCGCGGUAAUACGGAGGGGGCUAGCGUUGUUCGGAAUUACUGGGCGUAAAGCGCACGUAGGCGGAUUUGUAAGUUGGGGGUGAAAGCCCAAGGCUCAACCUUGGAAUUGCCUUCGAUACUGCAUGUCUAGAGUCCGGAAGAGGUGAGUGGAAUUCCUAGUGUAGAGGUGAAAUUCGUAGAUAUUAGGAAGAACACCAGUGGCGAAGGCGGCUCACUGGUCCGGUACUGACGCUGAGGUGCGAAAGCGUGGGGAGCAAACAGG
RNAcentral lists this ribosomal RNA (400 nucleotides) under uncultured bacterium. RNAcentral describes it as "bacterial SSU rRNA". It matches the Rfam family "Bacterial small subunit ribosomal RNA", at positions 359 to 776 of the family's 1533-position model. The record is from RNAcentral.